UAUGUAUUUAAAGACUUCCUUACAGGCUAUUAUGGAAAACUCUUCCUGUAAAAAUGCAACUCAGAUCAGCAAUGGUCCUACCAAGCUGCCUUCAGUUUUCUAAAUGAAACAGAGGACUGGCUCCUGCUUGAAGCACAUGGAAAUGUUCCCUCCAGGCUUCCCCUCCUAGAAAGCUGCGAUUAACCAAAGCAUGUUUUCUCCAAACUGGGAUGUUAGGACCCAGAGGAUUUUGGAGCCCUUGUUUGAGGUCUUUAUAUUUGCAUCAUUGAUUUACAUUUUUUAAAAUUUCCUUUUUCUAGUAACUAUUUAGUAUUUGGAAGGAUAAUGAAAAAAUGUCAUUCCC
Molecule: long non-coding RNA, 343 nt
Filed under: Chinchilla lanigera (long-tailed chinchilla)
Lineage: Eukaryota; Metazoa; Chordata; Mammalia; Rodentia; Chinchillidae
Description: lncRNA (ENSCLAG00000024371.1)
Source: RNAcentral